RNAcentral lists this ribosomal RNA (793 nucleotides) under uncultured Pelagibacteraceae bacterium. Its description in RNAcentral is "bacterial SSU rRNA". It matches the Rfam family "Bacterial small subunit ribosomal RNA", at positions 45 to 886 of the family's 1533-position model. Lineage: Bacteria; Pseudomonadati; Pseudomonadota; Alphaproteobacteria; Candidatus Pelagibacterales; Candidatus Pelagibacteraceae. The record is from RNAcentral.
CGCCUAACACAUGCAAGUCGAACGAAGUAGCAAUACUUAGUGGCAGACGGGUGAGUAACAUGUAGGUAUCUACCCUUUGGCCUGGAAUAACACGAGGAAACUUGUGCUAAUACUGGAUAAGUCUUUACGGAGAAAGCUUUAUGCACCAUUGGAUGAGCCUGCACUUGAUUAGUUUGUUGGUGGGGUAAUGGCCUACCAAGACUGUGAUCAAUAGCUGAUUUGAGAGGAUGAUCAGCCACAUUGGGACUGAGACACGGCCCAAACUCCUACGGGAGGCAGCAGUGGGGAAUCUUGCACAAUGGAGGAAACUCUGAUGCAGCGAUGCCGCGUGAGUGAAGAAGGCCUUUGGGUUGUAAAGCUCUUUCGUCGGGGAAGAAAAUGACUGUACCCGAAUAAGAAGGUCCGGCUAACUUCGUGCCAGCAGCCGCGGUAAUACGAAGGGACCUAGCGUAGUUCGGAAUUACUGGGCUUAAAGAGUUCGUAGGUGGUUGAAAAAGUUGGUGGUGAAAUCCCAGAGCUUAACUCUGGAACUGCCAUCAAAACUUUUCAGCUAGAGUAUGAUAGAGGAAAGCAGAAUUUCUAGUGUAGAGGUGAAAUUCGUAGAUAUUAGAAAGAAUACCAAUUGCGAAGGCAGCUUUCUGGAUCAUUACUGACACUGAGGAACGAAAGCAUGGGUAGCGAAGAGGAUUAGAUACCCUCGUAGUCCAUGCCGUAAACGAUGUGUGUUAGACGUUGGAAAUUUAUUUUCAGUGUCGCAGCGAAAGCGAUAAACACACCGCCUGGGGAGUACGAC